This 375-nucleotide long non-coding RNA is filed under the name Homo sapiens (human). RNAcentral describes it as "HSALNT0298439". The record is from RNAcentral. Lineage: Eukaryota; Metazoa; Chordata; Mammalia; Primates; Hominidae.
AUGUGCAAGAGUUUCUUUAAGACGUAUGUGGGUAUGCUCACCUUCCACAUUAUUAAAUAUUGCCAACUUGCUCUCUGCAGUCUUUGUACCAAUGCAAGCACCCUCCAGAUAGCUAUCUGAGCAAGCUCUCCUUCCAUAUCAAACCCUGCAUGAGGUGACCAACUGUCAUUAACUUUGGAUGUUUUUCCUGGAGGAGGAGAAUGUGCAGGAAUGAGAAGAAAAUACCAUCAGAAUCAUGUGGACCCACAUUCAUCCCUUACUUCACCCCUUCUGGGAAGGAACCCAGCAGGCUCAAAGAUAUGGAAAAUGCCACCAGAAAAACAGUACCUGGGACAGAGGGUAGAGAUUCCUAUGGCAGGAAUGAGACUACUUUUA